Molecule: long non-coding RNA, 2535 nt
Organism: Rana temporaria (common frog)
Lineage: Eukaryota; Metazoa; Chordata; Amphibia; Anura; Ranidae
Exons: 2
Source: RefSeq, a predicted model, not a curated record
GUCAGUCAUGUGAUAGUGAAACACACACCCAGUUCUUUGAGAGAGAUAAAAAGGGAUUACACCAGACAGGAAGGGAGGCUGAUGGGAAGAAGCUUGAUGGGAGAUGGCUGGAGCUGAUCCCUGGAAGGCUGAUCUCUGAUCUCUGAAGGAAGCUGGAAGGGAGAGAUUGACCGCAAAGAUGUAGGGGAAUGAAGAGGGUCCUUCAUUAGGACUUUCCCUUCUCAAACAGAAAGAUCUCUUACAUACUGAAAAUGAUUGACAAUCCAGACCAGAUCGUUGAUUGGUAAAGGUGAAAUGACCUACCAAAGACGCAACGAUCGCAUGGAUGAUGUUAAUCCUUGGCAUCCCACUCCGGAGGGAACCGUCACCAAACCACACUCCAGACCAGAUCGUUGAUUGGUAAAGACGAAGUUAACCACCAAAAGAUACCGCGAUCGUCUGGAUGAAACUAAUCCGUGAUGCCCAGUUCCGGAUGGAACCUGCCGCCACAUCGAAUCCUUCAUCAGGAGUCAUGAAGCAAGAUACUCCAGGAUUUGUAUUGUCGGAAAGAAAGAUUUGUUGCAGAAGUCCCUUGUUUAUUUGAAUCCCAGAAUAUCCGUUGAAAGAAGGGAUAUUGAAUCCCAUUUACAGCUUGUAACACUACAAGAGCGGAUUCACUGAAGAGUUUCUUCAAUUGCUGGUUUACCGGUUUUGUUUUUAUUACAUUUGAAAUGGGGGGGUGACACCACCACUGCAACAGUUCAUUUUGUUUUUAUAAAGACUUGAACUCAUCAAGGAAGAUCCAAGUCAUACAAGAACACUCUCUAUCAUAUGGACGAAGAGAGGAACAUUUUUAGUGUAAAGAAAAAUAAUAAUGUGGCCAUAUCUUUUUAACCACUGAUAUUUCUUCGGACACCGUUUCUUCAUAGGUCUUUGGCUAUUCGCCACACUAUAUAAAGAACGUGGGGGGGAUUUGUCGGAACAUUUGGGGUUAAAAGAAUACAUAUAAAGAUCGCACAUAAUACAUGUUUCAUAGUGCUCCAUAUACAGGGAUAUGAUGAACUGAAGCACAGCUAUUUGUCCCUGUUAGAGUUUAAACAAAGGUUCUCAGGCAUGAAUAGACACUGUUUUUAGGUUGUAAAGAGCCUGCCUGUGCUAUCUCCCCAAAUCAUAUCUCCUGGGGUUCGACACUUAUAAGAUAAGAGAAUGAAAAGCCUGGCACGGCAUGACACUAAACACAGUGUGGUCUCUGUGUUAUGAAACUAAAGGGGCUAUUCACAAUCCCAGUGAAAUUGUAUAUCUUAAAUAGUAUUGUAUCUAUUGUAUCUUUAUAAUGCCACAACAACAACAUGUAUAUCAGUAAUUCACAUAAUACUACUCGUUAAUACAUAGACACUACUGGGGUCCCAGGUAUAAGAUCCUAAAAUAACUUCAAAGUAUUAGACUGCCUUGAUCACAGCCCGACAUUAGUUUAAAGGAACUUUCCAAGGCAUGUGUGUUGAUCAUAAAACCUUAUCUCAAUCAUAACUUUAGACUUUGCCAAGAUGUCUGACAAUUGUGACAUACAGGACAAUUUAUGGGAGGGUUUUAUAGGCCCAAGUUAGAGAGGUCAUAAGUCAUGAUUAACUCUGCUUGACCUCAUCAUUAGGAAUAAUUCCUUACACGCUACUGCCCCCCUCCAGGUUAAUAUCGGCAUUGGGUCAAGAUAGUCACUGACCAAAACAUAGCAUCAUGUGACAUCGUCGGUCAUGUGAUAGUGAAACACACACCCAGUUCUUUGAGAGAGAUAAAAAGGGAUUACACCAGACAGGAAGGGAGGCUGAUGGGAAGAAGCUUGAUGGGAGAUGGCUUGAGCUGAUCCCUGGAAGGCUGAUCUCUGAAGGAAGCUGGAAGGGAGAGAUUGACCGCAAAGAUGUAGGGGAAUGAAGAGGGUCCUUCAUUAGGACUUUCCCUUCUCAAACAGAAAGAUCUCUUACAUACUGGUAACGUAUAAUCUUGAUUAUUUACCUUUUUGGUAAUUCAGAGAUUUUCACAUACACACACACAACUAAAACCGUGUAAAUAUACUUGGCAAAUAUAAUUUGGAAAUUGGUUAUGUCUAACUGCAGCAUGACGUAAUUGUAUUCCAAAUAUUAAAGACAUACGCAUUACGUUUGACUUUGAAAAGCUAAGUGCCAAUGAUGGUAAAUCGGUUUUAGAGUGAGGGCGUAUGUGAAGAUAUAUCCUCACCAAAUUUAACAAAAGCUUGUGUACAACAUAACAUUUGUUAUGUACACAUAUUUAAGAAGCAGUAGCAAGAGAUCUGUUUGUUAUUGAGAAGAAAUAAUACAAUGUUAAGGUUAUGUCACCAAAAGCUAAAAUGUUUCAAAUACGCCAAGAUGAUUUAAUACCAAGAGCUAGGAAUAUUCCUUGUCAUAAUAUUGUAAAUAUUAUCUAAAACAUUCAACCAUUGCUUAUUUCUGAUUAUAGAAACAUAUCAUUUAUUUGUUGUAAUACGAAUUGUACCUGAUUUUAGAUUUUGCACUGUACCUUUAGUUAAUAAAUAUAUAUAUUUUA